UACGUAGGGGGCAAGCGUUGUCCGGAUUUAUUGGACGUAAAGAGUGUGUAGGCGGCUUUACAGGUCCGUUGUGAAAACUCGAGGCUCAACCUCGAGACGCCGGUGGAAACCGUAAAGCUAGAGUCCGGAAGAGGAGAGUGGAAUUCCUGGUGUAGCGGUGAAAUGCGCAGAUAUCAGGAAGAACACCCGUGGCGAAGGCGGCUCUCUGGGACGGUACUGACGCUGAGACGCGAAAGCGUGGGGAGCGAACAGG
RNAcentral lists this ribosomal RNA (253 nucleotides) under uncultured bacterium. Its description in RNAcentral is "partial 16S ribosomal RNA". It matches the Rfam family "Bacterial small subunit ribosomal RNA", at positions 524 to 776 of the family's 1533-position model. The record is from RNAcentral.